AACGCACCUUGCACCCUCUGGCAUUCCGGAGGGUAUGCCUGUUUGAGUGUCAUUAAUCUCUCAACACAAGGAACUUUGUUUCUUGUGCUUGGAUAUUGAAGGGUUUGCUGGCGCAAACAACUGUCAGCUCCUUUUAAACAUAUUAGCAGAGCAUGCAGGACUGGCCUCAGUUUGAUAAGAAAUUUUUAUCUAUGCUGUCGCUGGGUUUUUCCUCUUUGUGCUCAGCUUCAAAUUGUCUUCGGACUGUCUCUUGAGGCAACAAAAACUUUAUUGAUCGACCUCAAAUCAGGUAGGACUACCCGCUGAACUUAA
Molecule: unclassified non-coding RNA, 312 nt
Filed under: uncultured fungus
Lineage: Eukaryota; Fungi
Description: partial contains 5.8S ribosomal RNA, internal transcribed spacer 2, and large subunit ribosomal RNA
Source: RNAcentral